Molecule: ribosomal RNA, 157 nt
Filed under: Craterellus calicornucopioides
Lineage: Eukaryota; Fungi; Basidiomycota; Agaricomycetes; Cantharellales; Hydnaceae
Also listed under: 1 other name
Description: 5.8S ribosomal RNA
Rfam family: 5.8S ribosomal RNA
About the family: 5.8S ribosomal RNA (5.8S rRNA) is a component of the large subunit of the eukaryotic ribosome. It is transcribed by RNA polymerase I as part of the 45S precursor that also contains 18S and 28S rRNA.
Source: RNAcentral
ACUUUCAGCAAUGGAUCUCUUGGUUCUCGCAUCGAUGAAGAACGCAGUGAAAUGCGAUAACUGGUGUGAAUUGCAUCCAAGUAACUCUAAUUUACGAAUAACACCAAGUGAAUCAUCGAGUCUUUGAACGCAAUUGCGCCCUCUCGGUCGCUUCCAA